This 492-nucleotide small RNA is filed under the name Pongo abelii (Sumatran orangutan). RNAcentral describes it as "processed transcript". Lineage: Eukaryota; Metazoa; Chordata; Mammalia; Primates; Hominidae. The record is from RNAcentral.
GGGACGCUUCGGCCGAGGAUACCGCAAUGGAUCAGGAAGAGGGGCUGAAGGCCUUGGACAAUAUUGUCACUCAAUUCAACACCUAUGAAGAUUUCCUGGACUCGCAGAUCACUACUGUGGACUUGUACUACCUGGAGGAUGAAACCCUGGCCCGCCAGUUGGUGGAGCUAGGCUACCGAGGGACUGGAGAGAGAGUGAAAAGGGAAGAUUUUGAAGCAAGGAAAGCAGCUAUAGAGAUUGCAAGACUGGCUGAAAGAGCUCAGCAAAAGACCCUAACAAGUGCUGGUAAAGACCUACAAGAUAAUUUUCUGAUGGCGCUGGCAACGAGAGAAGAAGACAAUCGCAGUGGAAAACUGAGUAUACUGGAACCCAUCUUGAAUCAUGCUAUGGACUGCAAGUCUGUGACCUCCCCACCUGAAUUCAUACGUUGAAAUCUUCACUCCCUAAGUGAUAGUAUUAGGAGGUGAGAGCCUUUGAAGGGCAAUUACAUCA